Molecule: long non-coding RNA, 1352 nt
Organism: Bombyx mori (domestic silkworm)
Lineage: Eukaryota; Metazoa; Arthropoda; Insecta; Lepidoptera; Bombycidae
Exons: 2
Source: RefSeq, a predicted model, not a curated record
UAUCUGAUACACCUGAUAAAAAAGACAUAAAUAAUAAAUUUAGAAGAAAAACAAAAAAAAAAAAAAAAAACUAAUCUAAUUAUAAAAUAUUAUAAAUAAACUAAUCUAUAUUAAUUAUAAAUAAACUAAUCUAUAUUAAUAUAUACUAAUCUAUAUAAAACUAAUCUAUAAAAUAAAAAUAAAAAACUAUCUAAAAAUAUUUUAAAUAACAAUUUGGUAAGAUACAAUCUAUAUGCAUUAAAAACCAAAUAGAGAAAAAAAAAAUUUAUUAAUAACAAACAAAAAGAAUAAAGCUUAUAUCUCAACACCACCUGCCAGCUAACACCAAUAUAAAAUAUAGAAGAUGUAAAUUAAAUUCAGUGAACAUCAAGAAACAUUUAGAAAGCAUUAAUAAAUAUAAUCAAAAUUCAAAAGACAAAACAACAGAACAACUACACUACGUCUGAUUUCCUGCCUCAUCACUCUUUCCACUCACAUGAGGUGCCACUGAAGCUUUUGGAAACUUCAACAGCAAAGGGCUCAGCUCUUCCAUAGCUGUUACCUUAUGACGUGUUCCAUUAGUUGUCUUGAUAACUAUGAUUCCAUCCUGGGUCCAGCAGGAUCGCAUUCCGAAGUGAGCUCUUGCCUUGAUAAAUAUGGACUGCCUGGGCUUUGUCAAAAACUCCUUCAAUGAAAUUGAACAACCCUUUAGGUUAGACUUUGCUCUCCAAACAUUGGAUUUAAUGUUUUCAUUAGUGAACCUCACAAGAAUGGGCCUGUUAUGCUCCCGACUUCGCGCACCAAGUCUGUGGCAUACUUUUAUGGAUGAAGAAGACACAUUUUUCAAGGCCAGCUUAUUAUUUAGCACAUUUAAGAUGACCGAAGUGCAAUCCUCUCCGUCAACCUCAGUACAUCCCUGGAAAAGCAAAGUCUUGCGUCGCUGCCGAGUCUCCAGACUAUCAAUCUGCUUCAUGCACUCUCCGAUUUGUGUCCGGAGCAGCCCAAGUAUGCUAAAGACCAACUCUCUGAACGUACGGAACUCUUCAGCAACUUUAUUUACAGUUUCCUUUGCAGGUCCUGCAGACUGAAUCUGUAUUUCAAGCUCACCCAUCUUCCGUGUGAAGUUUUCUUCUAAGUUCUUUUGAAUAGUUAAUAUUUCAGCAAGUUGAGACAUGAUGGGCUUGAGUGUGAGGAACAAGAUGUCACUUAAAUGGUUGAAGGUGUGCUGGCUGGCGCUUUGCAGCUUUAUUUAUGACACAUAAGCUGCUGCAAACGUUAGUACCAAAUCACAAAUACUUGUGUACAAACUGGAUGUUAAAAAAUAUUGAUAAAAGAUUAUGUUUCUAAUUUUCAAUAAAAUUUUAUGUUUAAAA